AUUGAACGCUGGCGGCAGGCCUAACACAUGCAAGUCGAACGAGUGGCGGCCGGGUGAGUAAUGUUUGGGAAACUGCCCGAUGGGGGGGGAUAACUACUGGAAACGGUAGCUAAUACCGCAUACCAUCGGUUUGCCCCGAAGGGGAUUAGCUAGUAGGUGGGGGAACGGCUCCCCUAGGCGACGAUCCCUAGCGGGCCUGAGAGGAUGCCCAGCCAACCGUGAACGUAGACACGGGCACGACUCCUACGGGGGGGAGCAGGGGGGAAUAUUGGACAAUGGGGGCAAGCCUGAAGCAGGCAUGCCGCGUGGAUGAAGAAGGCCGUGGGGGUGUAAAGUACUUUCAGCGGGGGGGCGUUACUCGCAGAAGAAGCACCGGCUAACUCCGUGCCAACAGCCGCGGUAAUUC
This 406-nucleotide ribosomal RNA is filed under the name uncultured bacterium. Its description in RNAcentral is "partial 16S ribosomal RNA". It matches the Rfam family "Bacterial small subunit ribosomal RNA", at positions 29 to 526 of the family's 1533-position model. The record is from RNAcentral.